UACAGAGGGGGCAAGCGUUGUUCGGAAUUACUGGGCGUAAAGGGCGCGUAGGCGGCCUGUUAAGUCGAACGUGAAAUCCCCGGGCUCAACCCGGGAACUGCGUCCGAUACUGGCAGGCUUGAAUCCGGGAGAGGGAUGCGGAAUUCCAGGUGUAGCGGUGAAAUGCGUAGAUAUCUGGAGGAACACCGGUGGCGAAGGCGGCAUCCUGGACCGGUAUUGACGCUGAGGCGCGAAAGCCAGGGGAGCGAACGGG
This 253-nucleotide ribosomal RNA is filed under the name uncultured bacterium. RNAcentral describes it as "partial 16S ribosomal RNA". It matches the Rfam family "Bacterial small subunit ribosomal RNA", at positions 524 to 776 of the family's 1533-position model. The record is from RNAcentral.